UCUCACAUAUCUCACAGAUCUUUUAGACUGACUCACAAAACCCUCUCAGCUCUUUGGCCAAAUAUCUUCUCAGUUAGCAUAUUAACCUAGAAUAUAGAGAUGGUGUUUUUCGGUAUGAGUUGAACGUUGAUGUUCUAAGUGAAUUUUGUCAGUGCUAUAAGAAAGAUUUAGUUUUGAUAUUGUUGUGCCAUAUGUCUUUUAUUCCUGAGUUUUGUACGUGAGCUGCCUAUUUAUUCGCAUGUCAACUAAAAUUAACCAGUUCUAUCCAAACACCACUUGUGUUUGGAUGAAAGGAGCAAAAGUAAUACUAGUAUGUAUUAGAUUCUGUGAAUACUGAUUUCUGCUCUGGUAUCAUGGGCACGCAAAAUUAAAAUAUAUGCAAUGGGAAAUGAAUGAGCCGUUGUCGUUUACUUAAUAGGGAUUGCUGCCUUGAUGUUAGAGAUCAAAGAAAUUAAGAACCAAAAGCACAAAGAGAUGACAUAAUUUUUGCUAUCGUUGCUGAUUGUAGACAUCCAGACGGGCUUCAUAAAUACAGAUGCUCGUCAAAAGAAAAAAUUGGUUAGUGACAGAGGGUGAACAUUUAUGUGAUGCUGCCGCUUCCCUCAGAGAAGAUAAUGUUUGCGCAAGAUUAGAGAGUACUUCAGGUAUACAUACGUAUUUGGACUACGUCCGAUUUAUGGUGAUUGAUGGAUGUUUCUUCAUAGGCAUAAUCAUGUUGAGUUUGUUGGACAUGCUGUUGGUGUUGUUUAGUUUUCACUAAGUUUCUUAAUAUACCAAACUGAUUUUGCUUAACACAACCUGGUAAUAACCAUAUAUAUAGAAAGAGAGAUUAUUUCGAGGCCUUGCAUAUCUGCACCACAACUGUGCUCCGGCCAUCCUUCAUUGAGAUGUCCAGUGUAAUAAUAUAUUGAUUGACUCCAAGUUUAACACUUAUAUUGCAGAUUAGAACAAUGAACAAAUUAGUUGGACUAAUUAAAUAAUAUGCUACAUUUGGAAGCUACUUUAAUAGCAAAAACUCAGGAUUAUGUACCAAUGUGUAACUAAACAACUUCACCUGUUCUUGAUCAUCUUGCGAUUAUGGGGCGUUGUUUGUUGUAUAAAGUACCUGUGAUCAUGUAUGUUGUGUCCAUGACAACAUAUGUCAAUACUGUUCAAUAUUCAUAUCUUGUCCUUGUUGAAUUUAGGCUUAUGUGGUUUAUUCUUCUGAAUUGAAAGUCCAUUCUCACUGAUACAACCGUAGCCAACUCAAAACAACCCCAAAAGAAGCUUGAAAUUCAACUAAGUUGUGCACUUGGAAACCUCACAAAGACUUAUCCUUCUUCUUACUACCCGAAAAGUUCGCUUAUAAAAAUCGAUCCUCUGCAUCAACUCCUCCACCUACAUGUCCAGAUUACUUUCGCUGGAUCUAUGAUGAUCUGUGGCCUUGGAGAGAAAUAGGAAUCACUGAAGAAAUGCUGAUGCGAGCCACAAGUAAUGCAGAAUUCCGGUUGGUGAUAGUGAAUGGGAGAGCAUAUGUUGAAACCUAUAGGAAUUCAUUUCAAAGGUGAGACACAUUUAAAUUAUGGGGCAUAUUACAAAUGUUAAGGAGGUACCCAGUGAAAUGCCCGAUUUGAACCUGAUAUUCACACGUGGUGACCGAACAGUUGUUCAGACCGAAUUCUAUCAACGUCCUAAGGAUUCUGCUCCUCCACCUGUGUUCUAUUACUGUUCAAAUGACGCGGGUUUGGAUAUUGUUUUUCCAGAUUGGUCAUUUUGGGGAUGGUACACUUGCCGUUUACUUACAAUAUUGUUAUGAUAAUGUACUAAACAGUUUUACCGAACCUGAUCUUUUUUUUUUGUUCCAAAAACAUUAUUUAGGACAGAGACUAAUAUAAAGCCUUGUGAGACAUUGUCAAAGGAGUUAUAGAAAGCAAAUGAGAAGAAAAAAUGGACGGAUAGGGAACCAUAUGCCUACUGGAAAUGCAAUCUAUAUGUUGUUUUAAAGCAAGAAAGAACCGUGCAAGUGCAAUGCUUCAGAAAAAUAGGACACAGAUGCACGUAUAUAUGGUCAGGUAUAUUGUUCUGCAACAUAUGUAACCAUGCACGUUCAUCGGCAGGAAUACAAUACAGAAGAUACAAUGUAAAAUAAACUUAACUGAUGAAUCUGCAAAUGUUCAAGUGAGUUCUUAUUCUAUUUUUUAUGUUCACUGUGAUACAAGGUUUUUAAUAAAGUGGUUACAGUAAAAUUUUAAUAUUGACAUAUUCUUGUAAGAUAUGAAGAAAGUAGUGUCAGAUUUAGUUAGAAGGGAAGAUAUAAACUUCAUCAUGCACGUUGUCAUUCCGGGAUAUUAAUUCCUUGGUGUGAUCAUUCCUUGGUCAGAUUGAGCUGUGAUUUAAUCAGUGUAGUAUAGGAAAGAACAAUGGUCAUUUGUAGUGUUGUUAUAAGGGAUCGCCUUUUUGGUCUAGUCAUUCUCUUAAAAUGCUUUUAUUUACAACUGAACUGGGGAGCAUUUUUCUGAUCCUGAGAUAGUGGAUCCUGGAAGGCAAGAAAAGGGCUUGAUUCAUUGCCUAUAAAUUGAGUUGCUCUUUUUUAAUAUGUUUAUUGCCCCUAUAUUUUCCAUUGUGAUAAUUGUACCUCUACGUGCUUUGUUUUGUGUAGUAUUUGAAAGAGAAGAGACUUUCACCUCAGACAUUUAUACCUCUUCAGUAGGUCCGUAUAAAGCCAAUAUUUGAAAGGUUUUGCACAUUGAGUGGAACUGCAAAGCUGGUUUUUGAUGUCAUACAUAACACAGAUUUGAUCAAGCAUUGGAGCGGGCUAUUUUAUUUGCUGUUCAGAAUACCAUUGUUUGCAAUGACUUGAAAGAAGCUAAGCAUCUUAGCUGGAGUGGAAAGAGACUUAAAGUUGAGACUGUUGAUGGGAUUUUAUUAACAAAAUCUGGUACAAUGACUGGUGGUACUAGUGGUGGUAUGGAAGCACGCUCUCAUAAAUAGGAUGAUAAAAAAAUUGAAGGACUUAAGAAGAACUUGAGUCAGAAUUGGAGGAGCGUGGAUCAAUAAGGGUGAUGCAGCUUAAGGAGUCUGAAGCAUCUGGCAGAAUCAGUGGACUUGAGAAAAAGAUUCACUAUGCGGAGAUAGAAAAGUUUUUUCACUAUCUUUUCUAAAAAAAUUUGUGAACAACCGUCAUUUUGCAUCCGUCUUAUUAGUCCUUUGAGAUUCUUACAUUUACAUCAAUUUUCGAUUUUAGAUGUCCUUGUAGAUUCUUAUAUAACACUUUCUUCCUGAUAAAGAUUGAUUUUGUGAGGGGGGGAAACUAUUUAAACUACUCUCAUCACUCUUCUCUUU
This is a long non-coding RNA of Capsicum annuum, 3321 nucleotides long. RefSeq lists it as uncharacterized. The transcript is spliced from 6 exons. NCBI's taxonomy places the organism in Eukaryota, Viridiplantae, Streptophyta, Magnoliopsida, Solanales, Solanaceae. The record is from RefSeq and is a predicted model, not a curated record.